AGAGUUUGAUCCUGGCUCAGGAUGAACGCUAGCGGCAGGCUUAACACAUGCAAGUCGAGGGGUAACAGGGAUUGCUUGCAAUCCGCUGACGACCGGCGCACGGGUGCGUAACGCGUAUACAAUCUACCUUUUACAGAGGGAUAGCCCAGAGAAAUUUGGAUUAAUACCUCAUGGUAUUGUUGAUCGGCAUCGAUUGACACUUAAAACUUCGGUGGUAAAAGAUGAGUAUGCGUUCUAUUAGCUAGUUGGUACGGUAACGGCGUACCAAGGCGACGAUAGAUAGGGGUCCUGAGAGGGAGAUCCCCCACACUGGUACUGAGACACGGACCAGACUCCUACGGGAGGCAGCAGUGAGGAAUAUUGGGCAAUGGACGAAAGUCUGACCCAGCCAUGCCGCGUGCAGGAAGACGGCCCUAUGGGUUGUAAACUGCUUUUAUACAGGAAGAAACCUUUCCACGUGUGGGGAGCUGACGGUACUGUACGAAUAAGCACCGGCUAACUCCGUGCCAGCAGCCGCGGUAAUACGGAGGGUGCAAGCGUUAUCCGGAAUCAUUGGGUUUAAAGGGUCCGUAGGGUAGGCUGAUUAUUAAGUCAGUGGUGAAAUUUUGUAGUUUAACUACAAAACUGCCAUUGAUACUGAUAAUCUUGAGUAUAGUUGAGGUAGGCGGAAUGUGUAGUGUAGCGGUGAAAUGCAUAGAUAUUACACAGAACACCAAUUGCGAAGGCAGCUUACUAAACUAUAACUGACGCUGAUGCACGAAAGCGUGGGUAGCGAACAGGAUUAGAUACCCUGGUAGUCCACGCCGUAAACGAUGAUUACUCGUUGCAUGCGAUAUACAGUAUGUGACUUAGCGAAAGCAUUAAGUAAUCCACCUGGGGAGUACGUUCGCAAGAAUGAAACUCAAAGGAAUUGACGGGGGCCCGCACAAGCGGAGGAACAUGUGGUUUAAUUCGACGACAACGCGAAGAACCUUACCAGGGCUUAAAUGUAAGUUGCAUUAGUUAGAGAUAGCUAUUUCUUCGGACUACUUACAAGGUGCUGCAUGGUUGUCGUCAGCUCGUGCCGUGAGGUGUCAGGUUAAGUCCUAUAACGAGCGCAACCCCUAUCGUUAGUUGCUAGCAGGUCAUGCUGAGGACUCUAACGAGACUGCCGGUGCAAACCGUGAGGAAGGUGGGGAUGACGUCAAAUCAUCACGGCCCUUACGUCCAGGGCUACACACGUGCUACAAUGGCGGAUACAAAGGGCAGCUACUUGGUGACAAGGUGCUAAUCUCUAAAGUCCGUCUCAGUUCGGAUCGAAGUCUGCAACUCGACUUCGUGAAGCUGGAAUCGCUAGUAAUCGCGUAUCAGCCAUGACGCGGUGAAUACGUUCCCGGGCCUUGUACACACCGCCCGUCAAGCCAUGGAAGCUGGGGGUGCCUGAAGUCGGUGACCGAAAGGAGCUGCCUAGGGUAAAACUAGUAACUAGGGCUAAGUCGAAACAAGGUAGCCGUAAAGGGC
Molecule: ribosomal RNA, 1500 nt
Filed under: uncultured prokaryote
Description: partial 16S ribosomal RNA
Rfam family: Bacterial small subunit ribosomal RNA
Source: RNAcentral